Long non-coding RNA from Homo sapiens (human), 13401 nucleotides. RefSeq lists it as uncharacterized. The record is from RefSeq and is a predicted model, not a curated record. The transcript is spliced from 2 exons. Lineage: Eukaryota; Metazoa; Chordata; Mammalia; Primates; Hominidae.
UUACACUCCCACAAUAUAAGCAUUUUCUUUUCUCCACAACCUUACCAGCAUCUCUUAUUUUUUUACUUUUUAAUAUAGGAAGGCUUAACUCUUAAUAUCUAAACACCGUACUUACAAAACAAAUUAGGAUUAAAAUAACUACAUCAAAAUUAUUACUAAAUCUCAGAUCUCAGCCUAAAUGUCACCUGUGCCUUCUCAGAGAGGUGAUUACUCCUGAUUACUCUUCUUUAUAAAAUUAGCACUUUCCCUCUUCCCAACCUCUAGAACCUUCUAUCAAAUCACCUGCUUAUCUUCUGUGCAGCCCACUAUGUUUUCUUGUUUAUAAUUCCUCUCCCUCCUUUAGAAUGGCAUUCUUUGAAUUAGAGGAUCUCUGUGCCUAUUUUAUUAGAAUAUCUGCAAUAUUUUUUAUAGAUCAUCAGAAAUUUAACAGAGUGGAAAACUGAAAGGUGAAGUGUUCCAAGUCAUUAAAGAUUAAAAAGUAACCAGAAUUCACGAGAAAGCAAAGUUAAGUUAUAAUGAUUUUUUAAAUGGACAUAAGGAUCAAUGGGAAAUCAAGAUAAAGCAAAGCUGAAAUUAUGGUAUUUUGAUGGACUUAGUGUCUAGUUUUAAAUGUUUUGUUUUGACUGACAGAACUGAAAUGCUAGACUGUCUGUUUCUAUAUAGGAUACCUGGCAACUGAAGUAAGACAUAUGAUAUUAAAAUAUAGCCUUUUACCCUGAAGGAUAUAACAGUUAUGUUGAGGAGAUGAAGACAUAAAAAAGAUAAGCAUGAAAUGUCUCAGCUGAGGAGUCACACAUAGGAAAACUCUCCUAAUCGCAUUUAUAACGUACUGUAGGAGAGGGCAUGCACACCUACACAGACAGCUCUCAGGUAUCUGUAUGGAUGACUUUUGGCCUAUUUGGAAUUCCGUGACUAAUUUCCUCCUGCUCCCCAAUAGGGUUCAACUUUGUAUUAUUUUUUUUAAUUUUCCAGAGUACUUUGACAUACCUGAUCUCAUUUUUUCUACAUGCCUUCUGUUGGCCUGUGAAGUGCAAUUAAGAAGACAACUAUUCUGUAAAAGUAUGUGUAAAUACUUGGCCUCCUAAUUGCAAACAGAAUGACUUGGGUUAUGCUCAGCAUUGUUUCCUUUCAUGAGUAUGAAUAAUAAAGUGUUGAUUGUAGGUGCAUUUAAUUGUUAAAACCCUUCAGAACAGCCAUAUAGCCAUGAAAGACUUUGUUGUUUAUUUAAUAGCUUUUGGUCUAAUAAUCUCAUUGCUGGAAAAAUGUAUUCCAAGUCUGUAAUUGAGAAGAAGAAAGAUAAAGAUUCUAUACAGGAAAAUCGUUCAUUAAUGAGUUAUCUUUUUUCAAAUGUUUUAUUUUACUUUAAGUUCUGGGAUACAUGUGCAGAACGUGCAGGUUUGUUACAUAGGUAUACAUGUAAUGAGUUAUCUUUUAAAAGUGUAAUAAUCUGUGUUUUAGCCAACAGGGCAAUAAGUAAACUAUGGUAUGACAACCCUCUGAAUGCUUAUACUGCUAUUACAACCAUAAAUACUGAAUGCAGAAAAAUGCUUAGCCAAUAAAUGAAAAAUAUAUGAGGAUGUAUGCAUAUUAUUAUCAUAACUCUUUGUGUGUAUAUAGUGCAUAUUGUACAUAUGUAUAUGAUACCACACAUAGACACACACGCACACUCACACAUACGUACAAAAACCCACAGAAGAUACAGGAAAAUAAAACAGCUGCUGUUAGGAUGGCAAAUUUUUUUUAAGGUGUUAUUCUUAAUGUUCUUUUAGUGCUGUAAUGUUUUUAUUGGAAGUAAGAUUCAGGGCAGGGAAAACAGAACGAUAAAAAUUGACCACAUAUGUAUAAAAACAAGUGCCAGUAAGACAGAGUGAACUCUGGUUGUAUAGAGAAGUCAGAUAUAUGUAAAUCUUAAUAGAGCCAUUCAGUGUCAAGCGGUUAGAAGGUGUAUGUGGCAUCAGUUUAACUUCUGAUGGUGUGGUGACCUCCCAGCCUCCGAUACCCACCCUAACCUAACCUAGCACCUAGCACAAUGCUUGGCUUGUUAUUGUCAUCACUAACGGAUGGAUGGAAUCAGUGGAUGGUUUUCUAAGAACAUAAAUCCAAAUUAGAAUUUAAGAGGCCGGGUGCGGUGGCUCACGCCUGUAAUCCCAGCACUUUGGGAGGCCGAGGCAGGUGGAUCACGAGGUCAGGAGAUCGAGACCAUCCUGGCUAACAUGUUGAAACCCCAUCUCUACUAAAAAUACAUCAGUAUUCUAUUGAUGUGCCAAUCUAGGCACUUAGAUGAUAGAAUAAUAAGGUAAGAUAGGUGGGAAACACUAAUUAGAACCAGAAGCAUUUAGUUGGGUAAAUAGAAGGAAGGAAAGAACCCAGUUUGUUAGAGAACAGAGGAUCUGCAAAGCUGGGGAAGUAGCAUUCUCUUGGGUAUGAAAAUAGGAAAGGGUGGUGCACGGAUAUGAAUGAUGGCAGCUGGGAGGUGGGUAAACUGAUAAAAUCAGUGAUGAGCAAGAGUUUGCUAGAAGUUCCUGAAGCUUCUGGAGAGGUGGUCCUUGCUACUAUUAAAGGCAUUGUUCAAAGAAGGGCCAGAAAACCCUUGGAUCAGGCUUGUACUCGGAAUUGUUUUUAGAUGAGUUUCCUUGCUCAUAGGUAACAGAUCCGGAGCAGCUUUACUUCUUGCUUCUCCUCCUCUUCCUCUUCCUCCUCCUCCUAUUCCUCCACCACCAUUACCACCACCAUCAUCAUCCCUUUUAUUAUUAGCUCAUUUAAUCCUCAUAACAACUCUAUGAGGUAGGUCGUAUUUCCCUCAGUUUACAGUUUUGGAAACUGAGACACAGAGAGAUUAAGUAUUUUACCUAAAUUCACACAGCUAAUAAACAGAGAUAAAAUUUGAACCCAGAGCAUCUGGUAUGAGAGCCAGUGCUCUUCUCCACUGUUACACUGCACAGUUGCGCCUGGGUAAGCAAUGAUUAUUUCCUUAUUAAAAAUAAAGACCUAUAGCUUCUUAGCCUGUCCUUUCUCAAAAAAUUAUAUUAGGAUCUCUGGAUUGUUUUUGUAUGAUAUAUUUCAAAAAAUUUUUAACAUACAAAUAUUAGAUAUGCUCACUCUCAAAAUGCAAAUAAUAUGGAAGUAGUAUGAGAAUAAUUACCCUCAUUCCUCCCUUCUAGGGAUGACCACAGGUAAUUUUUAGUGACUAUCUUUUCAGUCCUCUCUGGUUGUGUAUAUAUUUACAUGCAUAGGAUUGCACUUCUUUUGUUAUUUUAUACAUAUAUCUUUACAUACAUAUGUAUUGUGCAUAUGGAUGUACAUGUGUUGAUGGAAUUGUGCUUCACAUGUUCUUUUGCUUUUUGUAGUCUUUGUAUCAUUGUCACUGAGGUCUGGCCAUGUUAAUGAGUUUAGGUGUAUAUCACUGGAGCUCUUUGAUUUGCCGUUGUGUAUCCCUUCCCUGACAAACUGCUGGCACAUAAUAGAUGCUCAACAAAUAUUUGUUUAAUGAAUUGUGUUGAUUCCAUUAUCUUAUGCCACAAUGUUUAAGUAGUCAUUUUUUAUUUUACUCAUUUAUUUACUUAUUUUCAGACAGGGUCUUACUAUGUCACCCAGACUGGAGCGCAGUGGCGCACUCAUGGCUCAUUGUAGCCUUGACCUCCCAGGCUCAAGUGAUCCUCCUGCCUCAGCCUCCCAAUUAGCUAGGACCACAGGUGUGCACCACCAUACUCAGCUCUUUUUAUUAUUAUUAUUAUUAUUUAUAGAGAAGGGGGCUUGCCAUGUGGCCCAGGCUUGUCUUGAACUCCUGUGCUCAAGCAAUCUGCCCACCUCAGCCUACCAAAGUGCUGGGAUAACAGGUAUGAGCCACCAUGCCUGACCAAGUAGUCAUUUUUUAAUUGAACGUUUAGUUUGUUUCCUCUUCUCCACUAGUAUAAAAAAUGCCAUUUCCUCAUUUCAGGAAGGCUGGCCAUUUUGUGAUGAGACCUUUAUAGUUUGGCAGGCUCUUGGCAGGAUGAAGAUGAAGCUGUUUUCUCUCCAUCUGGCCAGGUAUUUGCUGGCUGCCGUUGAUCAGUCCCAAUGGAGACAGUGACUCUUGGGAAAUUAUUUCCUCCUACAUUAGAGGCCAGAUUUAAACAAAUAAAGCUUGAUUUUAUGUUGGCCUGUUCUUUAGAGACUCUUUAUCUUUGGUGGGUAGAAGAGCUCCAGUUGGAUUAUUUGUCUUUUCCAUGAAUAAUGUUCGUUUAACUGAAUUAGCAGGGGAAGAGCAAUGAAAUAUUAGAAAUGCUUAUUGUACCCUUUAGAGUAGUGCUUCUUAACCUUUCUGGAAUCUCAGAGCCCUUUUAGAAUGGCUCUGGGACUAAGCUGUGGGUCCUCUGCUUAGAGAAGUGCACAUGGGUGGUCAGUGUAUCACGGCCCCUGAAGAUGAGGAGUAUGGGUUGAGGACCUCUGUACUUAGGGGAGCUGUUGCCUGUGUUUGCCUUCCCUUCCUGCAUAGUCUCUUUGCUCUUUUCCUGUGACAGUGUUUUGGUGACACUGCUCUGGAAACUUCGGUGGCUUGUUGUUGUUGUUGUUCUUGAUAUUUUUGAGGUUGGGGAUGUAUGUAAAGAAUUAACAAGUGGAUUGCAUCUUGGUAGGCAGAAAGGAAGAAUACAGCAUUUUAUUUUCUGCCAGUGUGUAUAAACAGCCCACACCAGGGACUUUUUGUAGAUACUGUUAGUCAUGUUAAGCAGAUGAACAGGGUGCAUAUAAAGUGUUUGUUGAACAUGAGAGUUGGUUGUAGGAAAAUUCCCACUGAGCCCAGUGCUGCACACAUAUUCAGCACUCGUGAACCAGGCCUUCUGCUAGAUUACAGGAAUAGAAAGAUAAUAAAUCCCAGUUUCUGCCCUUUAAGGGCUUAUGUUCUAGGAGAGGGUAAGGGUCAUGAAAUGAAAUAAAUGGAGUAGUUUUAUUAGUGAGCCUGGUUUGUUUCCAAAGGCCAGAAACUGGCUCAAGGAAAAAAGAGAAUUUUUUGGUUCAUGUAUCUGAAAAUUCCAGAAGUAGCCUUUGACUCUUUCUGUUUUCCUCUCUGUUGGCUUCAUCCUUAGGUUACAUCUUUGUGUGUGACCCACCAGCCAUCCACUUCUGGCGGCUCCAACCUCAUAUCACCCUUAACAGUCAGCAGUUCUGGCAAGACGACAUACUUCUUCCCCUAUUGUUCCAAUAGAAGUCUUGGAGUUGGGUCACAUGCCCAUUCCUAAGCCAAUCAUUGGGGCCAGGAAGAGGGCAGAUAGAAUAUGCUGAUUGGCCAGGGUGUAACAGACAGGGGAGCCAUCUGGACUGUCAUCUGGGGAGGAAUGGUUCCCCAAGGGAGAAUCAAGGUGUUGUUACCAGAAGUGGGAAUGGAUGUGGGGCAAGUAGAAACAAGGACCACUACAGCAGUAAUCUACUAAUAGAAGUUUCUGUAAGAUGUGGGUGGACAAGGAAGAGGAUGUGACGGUCACUCUAGAAAGGCUUUCUGGAGAAGGCGAUGUUUAACCAAGUUUCUAAUGAAUGAGUCAAUGAAUCAAAGACUAAAAUAGCCAUCUUUCAGGACAUAGGAUUCUUUCAUAUGAAACUUUUUAAAGUGUGAUUGUGUUAGUUUAAAUUCUGGUUUCAAUCCCAUUUUGGUAAAAUUUAAGAUUCUACAAAUUUUUUAGGUGGCAUUGGAGGUUUGAGUUUAAGUAAAUUUGAAGACUGAGAUACAAAUUUGAAAAUAAUUUUUUUUCAGAGAUGUCCAUUAUAAUGAUACUUAAUGUGGUGGGUCUAUGUAUUUGGUACAUAUUCUAAGUAGGAGGAAAAUAACCGAAGUUAUAACUGUUUCUCCUUAUCACUGAUCAUUUGUAAGGGACUAUGCUUGGUACAGUACUAUAAACCCUUGAUUUGUUGGUGGGGCAGAAUAACCAUGGUUAUAAGUAAAUAAAACUAGCAUGCUUUUGAAGAGAAUGAAAUUGCAGGAGAAGGAAAGCAUCUAUAUCUUGGAAGGUUCCAGGUGCCUAGAACUUGACAGUAGCCAUUAGGAGACUGCUACCCGGUUUCUGGUCAGAUGUGUUCUUGUCUCACUGAAGCCCUGGAUUAGCUGCUAUCUCCUCAGCUGGGGAGGCCCCAGGGUAUCACUAAUUAGCAGCGCUGCAGGAAGUUUGAGCAAGUUUAAUCAUAUCUUUAAGCGAAGUCUUCUGGUAGUGCUAGACUACUCUUUUCUGUACCUGCUGAUUUUUUUUUAGAAACGGAGGCUGAUGACACCUUUUGAGUACUUACUGUAUACCAUUCUUUCUGCCAAAAAAGUCUCGUGUAUUGUUUCUUGAUCCUAUGAAGGUAGACACAAUUAUCCCUGUUUUGCAUUUCAGGAAACCAAAAGCUUAAAGAGGCCAUACCCUCAACUUUUUCAAUUUAGCACCAAGCUAAUCUGAGAGUGCUUGAAGGCUUCUCUGAUGAGCCCAGAGAAAGACAAGAGGAAGCUGACAUUAAGGAUGAGGUUGAUUUCAUUUCCUAUGUGAUACACGGAGUUUAAGAUACAGUUGUGGGCCAGGCACGGUGGCUCACGCCUAUAAUCCCAGCAUUUUGGGAGGUCGAGGCGGGCAGAUCAGUUGAGGUCAGGAGUCCGAGACCAGCCUGGCCAACAUGGUGAAACUCCUUCUCUACUAAAAAUACAAAAAUUAGCUGGGUGUGGUGACACACGCCUGUUAUCCCAGCUACUCGGGAGGCUGGGGCAGGAGAAUUGCUUGAACCUGCGAGGCGGAGGUUGCAGUGAGCCGAAAUUGUGCCACUGCACUCCAUCCUGGCUGACAGAGCGAGAUUCCAUCUAAAAAAAAAAAAAAAGAUACAGUUGUGAGGUUUCUUGAUGAGGAAGAGCAAGUCAGAAGCAGUGAGGGGUGACUGCUAUCUGGCUUUCAUCAUGGGAAGGCCUGCUCUCCUUCUGAUUCCCUUGCCAGGCCAUUUAAGAUGCUUCUUUGCUCAGAAACCAGUUGCUGUCUGCACAUUUUCUUCUAAUAUUUGAGUGAAAGGAAGUUCAUCUGAAUAGGGAACUUGGAGCCAACACUAGGGGACUGCCUUAAAAGACUGUUACCUCUUUGAGGGGCCUUUUUUUGUUUUGUUUUUUUAAUACAGGCUUAAAUUAAUCCCAAACCUUUGUAUUGUAUUCCUUAUUUUUAAAAAUAACUUUUAUUUUGUGUGUUUAAGGCAUACAACAUGAUUGUAAGAUACAUAUAUGUAGUAAAGCAGUUACUAUAGUGAGACAGAUUAACAUAGUGAUCAUCUCACAGUUAACCAUUCUCUACCCCCCAAGAACAGCUGUAAUCUCAUUUAGCAGAAAUCCUGAAUGCAAUACACAUUAUUAACUGUAGUCUUCCUGUUGUAUCUUUAGACUUACUCAUCCUAUAUAUUUGCUACGUUGUGUCCUUUGACCUCUACACCUCAUCAUUUCCUUUCCACUACCCCAAACCUGGUAAUCACUAUUUUGUUUUCUAUCUCUGUAAAUUUGACCUUUAUUCUUUUUUUUUUCAGAUUUUACAUAUAAUUGAGAUCAUGCAAUAUUGUUAUUAUUUUAAUUUUUUUCUGUGAUGUUUUUAAAAUGGUAAAUAUUUCUGUGUAUUGGAAAUAAGUUUCUCUAAACAAAUUUUUAUUUCAUUUUAUACCAUAUUUUAUUAAAUUUUAAUUGUUAAUAAGGAUUGAUUUGGGGUUGUUUUAGAUUGGUAAUUCCCCCUAGUCCAGUUGACUGAGAGUUAACUGCAGGAUGAAAAUGGACCCUGACAGCUCAGAGUGGGCUAGAACAAAUGCCAGAACUACAGGUAAGGGUGUUUGUUGCAGCAUUGGUGGAAAAGCUAAGAUAGAUAGAAGAGAUCGUUAAAAAGGCAUUGCUCAAAAUAGCUUACUAGUAUGGGACUGACAAUUUCCAUUAUGUGUAUCCAUACCGUGGAGUCCUGUGCAGUAUUUUCUAUGUGAUGCAGGUCUGUGUGUCCUUUUAAGAAAAGCACUGUGACAGUAGCGACAUCCAAAACUUCUUGAAUAAUGUGAUCUCAUUUGAGUAAAUAAAAGGAUGUUUAUGAAGUCUGUGCACAUGCUCUUCCUUGUAUAUAAAUAAUUUCUAGAGAUGAUACUCAAAAAUCGUUGAAAUGUUCGGGGAGCGAGAAUAGAGAAUUUUAACCUUCCAUUUUUAAACUUUUCUGUAUAGUUUGAUUUUACUCCAUGCACAAGUGUUAGUUUUAUUUUUAAAAUAACAGUCCUAAAAGUAACACUUAUUGGUUAUGAAUGAAAGAGAAAUUUCAGUAAUAAAACCCAGUUAAGUUCCUUAAUUAAAAUAAAUCCAUGGGUGUGGUUUUAGUAGCUAGGUCUGUUACAUACCUUAAGACCCAGGACAUUUCUUUUCUCUCCCUCCUCCCAGGCUUUAUGAAACUAUAGUUAUUUAUUUCAUAGAUGUUUAAAAGUAGGUCAGCAACACAACCAGAAAAAGACUCUCCGUUGGUUUAGGGGGAGGUGGGUGGGAGGGCGCUAGCAGAGGACAUCAGGUUGGCUUCCUUGAUCUUCCUCUGCCUUUUUGUGUUUGUUGCUGGUUUCUAACCAUUUUCCUCCCUUUUCCCACAUACAUUUUGAAGAUUAUUUUAGACUGGGCAGUGCCCUAACAUUUUUAGCUUUUGCCUUCUGUAUUUUUACAGCAUGUUUUUAGAGUCUGUUUAUUUUCUUAGUGUCUAUUUGAUCAGUUCCUUUAAAUUUUAUAUCUAGUGCUUUAUUGCUUCAUAUCCUGCUUGCUUCUGCUAUAGUUUAGUGUGCAUCUGACUUUGGUCAUUCCGUUGCUAUCCUGUUCCAUUUAUCCCUUUUAUGUUUGUAUUUCAGUUUUUUUUUUUUUAAAUAUCUGAAUAAUUCAAUGUCUCCAACCCAAAUAGCCAGUGAAACUUUUCUCGACCUACCUGGUUACGAUGGCUGAAAUGAUACAAGCAACCAUCAGGCAGGAAGGGCUCUGGUUCUCGAUGGUGUAUUAUUGUUCUGACAGCUAAACCCUGGCAGGAUGAUGCCUACAGGCUCCUAAUAUGGAGCGCGAAUGUUUGGAAAUGUUGGAAAAUUACAGGCAAUGGCCCUCUUUACAUGGGCUUUUCAUGGGAAUAGAUGAAUUCAUAUACAAAUAUUGCUUAAUGUUUUAUUUUAAGAGGCAGUAACUCUACAAACUGAUGAAAUGUUUACAACGUGUUUUUUCUGAACAUUAACUCAUGUAAAGUGUUUGUGGUUCUCAUGGCUCCCAUCAUGGGUGGAUGAGGAAGCAGAGCCUCCUCCACAUUCAAGCCUUCUGACUGCAGGGCUCCGCUCCCGCCUGAGCUUUUCCUUCCAUCCUCGCUUGUCUUCACAUCAGUAAUACUGAAAGUAUUUGGCAAGCUGAGCUUCUAGAAAGUGAUACAUUUUUGGAAAGAUUUUUUCCUCCUCAACUAUUUAGCAUUGUGAAUAGUUUCCCCUUUUGUUCCUUUCGCCCUCUGUCCCUCAGGCCGUGUUAUUUUCAAGACCUUCCAUUCCAUUUUGCUAGCCUCCCUUGUUCCACAUCCAUACCUCCCUUCUCAUACUUUUCAUUCCACCUGAAGAGUGGGAAAUGGCUUUUUCCAUUAAUCCUGCCUUGCUUUUCCUGUAAGAUCUAGCACCAAACCUCCCUCUUCCCAGAAGUCUUGUCUGACGUGGUACAUCCAACUUCAAUCGUUUCAAAUCUCCAUUGGCCCUCCCCUACAGUUCUGAAAGAUUCUGUCUUACACAUGGGGUGGUCGAGGAGGGGAGGCAGGUUUGUAAUGGAAAUGAUGGUAGACUGAGCAAGGAGAUGUAGCAUCUGCUUCCCUUGUGCUGCUAAACGGCAUGGACUUGGAAAAGCUGCUCACCCCUCCUAGGCCUGUGGUUCUGCAGCUUUAAUAUAAAAGGGGUAGGACUAGAGAACUGCGUCUACAGUAGUGAUUUUCAAAUUAUGUUUCAAGAAUCUUUGGGACUCUACAGUUGCUGAGGUGAAAGAAACCUUUCUCCCAGCUUCUUCCAGAGCUGCCCUGCUUUCAUCUUGCUGGUGUACUGGGGUUUCACAUUCAAUUUUUAUCUGUCUGUCUAUUUUUGAUAAAAGAUAUUCUGUACUAAUAGUUUUAAAACCAUCAGAUUAAAUGACCUGAAUGUGGUUAUUGUUUCUUACACAUAGUUAGCUACUUAAUAAAUAGUUUUAAUUCAACUUAGCUUUGAUCAUUUAGCAAACUAUAAAGAUGAUCCCUGAAAGUUUAGUCUUAGCUUUGUUCUUUAGAUGUUUCUUGUGUGUAUCAUCUCCCAAUCGACAGUCAGUAAACUUCAUCAUUCCCAGUACCUAAGAUUGCAGUGUGUAUACUUGUGUAUACUUUAUUACCCAGCGUCCCUGAGAUUACUUAAUAAAGGAUUUUAUAGGAUAAAAGUAGCUCCAGUCUUUGUGUCCUGGGUUGCCUGGAGAGUAUUAAGAAAACAUAAUAAAAUUGGUUGAGGUGUACCAUACAUGUAUUUAUCUUACAUGAAUUCAACUAUAAGCAUUCUGCAAAUAACAAGAAUAUAAUGUGGCCUCUGAACACCAGUAACUGCUUUGUCUGGUGCUCAGCUGAAUAAACCACCGUAUGGAGGAAAAACUCUCCGUGGAACUUAGUGACAGGCAGUACAGUACAGUUUAAACAAAGCAAAGUAUAUUAUGCCAUAUGCCCGGCUUAAGGGCUUUUCACGAGAAAUUCUCACUCUAUCUGGAUUUUGCCUUAAAUGUUAGCUGUAGAACCUAACACCCAAGUAAAGAUAUGGUAUCAUCAUAUUCUAUUUCACUUCAUUGGAAGCUCUUUCCCAUGAAGGAUUCUGCAGAUUUUUAAUACAUGGUGAUGCUUCCAUAAAGUACUCCUUUAAAGCAUUUGAAAUAAUCUGUUUGAAAUAGGAGUAUGAAACCAUUUAGAAAGCACCUCUCUAAAGGAAAUUAAGUUUAUGAAGUGAAUAAGUGAACUAAUGUCAUGCUAGCAGCCUGUGUAGAGGAUCUACUGCUUCUGAGGGACAGGGGUUAUCGGCUAAAGGAAGGACAGAUCUCUUGAUCCCUAUUUGGCCCUUUUGCUAACCCUGAAAGUAGCCCAAGAGCAAGGCCUCUGAAAUGCUAGGACAUUUGACCCAAUCAUUAUUACUACAUUUUUGUAUAGUCUCAAUGGAGUCUUUAACAUCCAUACAUAAUAGAUGUAUCCAUCCAAUAUAAAUUCAAUGAAUAAAAGCGCACCUAAGUAAGACUGUGUAUUGAAAAAUGCAACGUUCAUAAGAUAUCCUGUUGGGAAAAGAUAUUUUUUUACAUGCCAAAAAUACAAAUUGAGACUUUACUAAACUAGAUUGGAAAGACAGUUCUGUAGAGACAUCUGGUUCCCUGUAGGUGGAAUUUCAACUCUUAAAAGCGAGCAUAUCAACUUAAAUAGUAUGUGAACUAGAGAAUUUAGAUUUUGAACCUGCUGGUUCAAACUUUUCUGUGUUUGCCAUCAUCCUCAGGUAGGUUCUCCUCAUCGUGUCAAAGAUAGGCCCUUGGAGACCAGGAGAAGCUCCUGGUCUGUACCCUACCCAUUUGCACGCAAGAGUACACCUCUGUGGUAAUAGUUCCAGCAAAAGUCCCAGGGCAGGCUCUUUCAUUGGCCUGGGCCAGGUUCUGUAUUCAUCCCUAAAGUGGUCACUGUGACUGAGGCCACUCCUGAGUCAUAUGCUAGCCCUGGGGUUAGCUCCGCCCAACCACACAGACAGAGCUGAGGGAAGGAGUACACUAAAGGAAAAUUGAGAAGUUUUAGUUAGAAAGUGGGGAUGGAUUCUGGGCUGGCAGAAAGAACAGAUGUUCCUCAUAAUGAGCAAUUGCAAGGGCUCAUACAAGACAAGUUUCAGAGGGGCUAUUGAUGGUGUGGGUAAAGAAAAUUAUAUAAAAGUAACACCUCAACCCGCGGUUCUUCCUUGAGAUUAUGGUUCCUUUUAUUUCACAAUUUGUGGCAUUGCUGGGCCAAUAAAGAGAACUUCAAACAGAUAUUCCACAUUCUUUUAUUGGCACACAGAGGGCCAUCAAUUAACCUUAUUAAAAAAAAAACAACAGUGGAAGAAUCCUGUUUUGAAAUCUUGAUUUGCUUUAAAAGCACGUAGAUGGUUGUUGACAGAUUUUUGUUGGUCCUGGGGCUGCCACAGGUCAGCCAGGUGUUUUUUUCCCCCUGCUGGAUACGGAUCUUUGGACAUUUGCCUCCAGUCUUUGCGUUGAACUCAGCAGUUUCCUGGGUGAGGAGGCAACCUUUGUGUGCUCAGCUUCUUCCAAAGCAGCUGUCUCUAGAAGUUGCUAGCCAUCUCCUGGUUAAGAAAGAAGAUGGAAGGUGGUAGGGAGAGGAAGCAAAAACAUUUCACACUGCCUCCCCAAAGACAGAUCUGUUAUCCUGCCUUGACCACAAAAAUUCACGGAGGAAGUCAGUGAGUCAGAGAUGCGCCAGGGUGUAAGUUGUCAGCACAGUUCAGCGAGCUCUGGUAUCUUGUGUUUCUCUGUUCGUACCACUACUGCUUUCCUUCCUGGCUACAUUCACCAGCAUGAAGAAACUGGAGCAGCACCUUGAGAGGUUUCAUCAGCCCAUGGCUGGGAUGGUUGACAGAUCACUUGCAAAGCCAUGGGAAAAGGACCUGGUUCCUCUUGACUCCUCUGACUUAUUUUCAGUGAUCCGACAUCUUGAAAAUAUUUUCCAUUUCACUCCUAGGUUCUUGUAGGCCUUCCCACAAUGAGCACAUUCAGUCUUAAAAAUUUUUUUUCUGCUUUAAUUGGCGUGGGGUCGGAUCGCUUCUCCUUGGGUCUUAACUGUAUUCAGAGGGGCUUAGGGUUUGCCCAAGGCCUCAAAGGCCAUGAGUGGUAGGUCAUGGUCAAAGCAUGUCCUCUUUCCUCAAUAGCAGUGUUGGCCUAAAUUCAUUCUCCACUUCUUCGACUCUCUUUCUCUUGGGUGAUGAGGAGGUAUGAGAUAAUGUGUGAGAAAUCCUUGGCCAUCUUUGGAGUGAGGGGCUCUGUCUAUGUACCUGUGUCCCCAUCCAGAAAAUACAUAGCCAGGGUUGGCUGGUGCUGCUCUCAUCAUUGACAUAACCAAUCUGAAACUGGAAACCGAAGCACCAGUAUAGAAUGGUGGCCAAGAGGGUGGUCUGGUUUCAGACAACCUGGGUUGAAUUUAGGUCCCAUCCCUGACUACUUAGAAUAAUUUUAUGCCCCAGAUUCUUACCUGUUAAAUGGGGAUGAUUUUAACACUGACUUCAUAGAGUUCUCAGUGCAUUUGAAUGAGAUAAUCCAUUGAAAUCAAUUGGCAUGAUACUUUCCACCUCUUGAACACCCUAUAAAUGUUAUUAUUAUCUUAAUCCUGGAGCUUUAUGUCAAGAAAGGAGUUUGCCUUUUUUUUUUUUUUUUUUGUAAAAAUUGAAAAUUUU